GUUUAUGGCCAUUCGCCCUGAAUACAACCAAUCUCAUCUGAUCUUGGAAGUUAAGCAGGGUUGGGCCUGGUUAGUACUUGGAAAGGAGAAGCUAUUAUAAAGU
Molecule: ribosomal RNA, 103 nt
Filed under: Castor canadensis (American beaver)
Lineage: Eukaryota; Metazoa; Chordata; Mammalia; Rodentia; Castoridae
Source: RNAcentral